GUUUGACUCACUGAUCCAAUCGCAGUGGUUCACAGUUCACUGGAGCAAGGCAAUGGCUUAAGCUUCAGUCUGUUCUGUACUUAAAGCUAUUGUAUGGAUUCCGAAGACUUGGACUUUAGUCAUACAUCUAUAGAGUCAUAUGGACUACUUUCAUGAUGCUUUGCUUAUGUCUUUGGUGAUUUUUGCAACUUAAGUGAGGUCAGCUGUCAUUGUAUAUUAAAACAACUUGAUUGAAGAUCUUUACAAGUUUGGAGCGACAAGAGUGUGUAAGACCUUGCUGCUGACUGAGACGGAGAUGAAAAGUGGAGACUAGCUGCUCUGCUGUCUCAGCACCUCGCCGGACUUGUUAGCUGUAAAAUGCUCUUCUCCACUGUGGAUGCAGUCCAGGGGCCGUGCUCUAAUAUCUGGGUGUCGCUGCAAGCUGGCCCCCACCGGACUGACCCGAUAAAUAAUUGCCGCACUGAGCCACGGUCUAUUUUUAGAUGUGUGUUUAGGAUACUAAGGGCAAAUACUCUCCCUCUGUGUUGA
Molecule: long non-coding RNA, 528 nt
Organism: Cyprinus carpio (common carp)
Lineage: Eukaryota; Metazoa; Chordata; Actinopteri; Cypriniformes; Cyprinidae
Source: Ensembl